AAUAAUCCUCUGAACAUCGGCUCCCCAUGGGGCUGCCUAACCCCAGCGGCGUUUCCUAGCGCUGUGUCCCGCGGUCGAGCGUGCUGGUCCAACACGCCGGCACCGCAGCAGAACCGGCAGCUCCGCACGCGGCCGAGCCCCACUGCCUCCUCCCAGCCUGCUCAGUGCAACCUCACGGACCCGCGGCAUCGCAUCCCGGCAGCAUCCAGUGCACACACGCGCUCCCCCAGCUGCUCAUUCCAGUUCGGACAGUGUAAACUGGGAAGAAACUUCUCAAGUACGGGCAAAGCCGGGGUAGGGCUGGGCAGCAGCAACCUCUCGAGAAGCCACCACAAACGGAGAGCCCCUGGAGCACGACUCGGCCUCGCAGGAUGCCCUUGCGUGGGCGGCAGAGUCRGGGGGAGAAAUUCCCAUCUCUGCAAGGAGACGCUCGCGGGGCUCCCAGGACAGACACAAGGCUGCAAUGGAGCGUGGAGGGCUCUGCCGAGGCGUCGGCGAACCUCAGCCCGCGUCCCGGAGGGAACCGACCCCGCUUCACCCUGGGCUGCCCCUUCUUAAGCUCCAGUAUGAAAUAUUGUUUCAGUCGGUUUUAAAUUACCAAUGUCUUAAUGGUCUAGCAGUUCUUGGCCUUCCCUUUUGAUGUCAUUAGAAAUGGAGUUACACAACUGCUUGAUGGAAAAGCUGGUGUCCCACAAGAAUAGCCCCAAGCACCCGGAGCGUUGCGUAACCAGAACAUGUGGCUUUUUGUUUCCUUCUUUCCUUUCUUUCUUUUUUCUUUUUUCUUUUUUUUUUUUUUAAAUUACAGCCCAAGAACACUGUAGCCUCGGUUAAAGGCACAGGUACCUUCGCAGAGGGAGAGGAAACCUUCCCGGCAAUCCCCAGAGAGCAAGGCCCAGACUCCACCACCAAGGUUGAUGCAACCCCGCGCUCCUGCAGCACUGACACGGGCUGGGAAACUGUGUCCGUCGGGAAAAGCUUUGCUUAACCUCGGCUCCCCUCGAGGGCCCUGCUCCCCCCCGCAUCGCAGCCCCGCAGCUGAGGCAAGCUGCAAGCAUAGGAGCUGCUCGGAGGAGCCAGAUUCGUGCUCCUGCCUCCGCCGCCUGCAGCGACAGCAACGGGAGAACAACAACAAAGCCAUUUCAUGAGAAUUUCAACCCAGUGGGAGGAUCUUUAAAGUUUGUUCAGCAGUGCAGAGUCCCUUUGAACUGAGUAUCCACUGAGGGUGCCAUCAAAAACAAAAGUGUGUUUACCAGGAGACAACAUCUGAGAUGGAAAACACUGCAAAUACUGCAGGAAGUUAAAAAAAAAAAAAAAAAAAAAAAAAAAAAAAAUUUCAUCCUCAGUAGAUGUUCUACUAAACACAGACUUAGGAUACCCUGUUGGACUAAGCAGUCCUUUAGUAUCAGACUCUAUCUCAGACCAUCUGCUUAGUGCAAGAAAAAAAAAAAAAA
Molecule: long non-coding RNA, 1451 nt
Filed under: Dromaius novaehollandiae (emu)
Lineage: Eukaryota; Metazoa; Chordata; Aves; Casuariiformes; Dromaiidae
Description: lncRNA (ENSDNVG00000004807.1)
Source: RNAcentral